GGAUUUAUUGGGCGUAAAGCGAGCGCAGACGGUUAUUUAAGUCCGAAGUGAAAGCCCACAGCUUAACUGUGGAAGUGCUUUGGAAACUGGAUAACUUGAGUGCAGUAGAGGAGAGUGGAACUCCAUGUGUAGCGGUGAAAUGCGUAGAUAUAUGGAAGAACACCAGUGGCGAAGGCGGCUCUCUGGACUGUAACUGACGUUGAGGCUCGAAAGUGUGGGUAGCAAACAGGAUUAGAUACCCUGGUAGUCCACACCGUAAACGAUGAGUGCUAGAUGUUUGAGGGUUUCCGCCCUUAAGUGUCGCAGCUAACGCAUUAAGCACUCCGCC
RNAcentral lists this non-coding RNA (328 nucleotides) under Weissella viridescens. RNAcentral's name for it is "Bacterial small subunit ribosomal RNA". It matches the Rfam family "Bacterial small subunit ribosomal RNA", at positions 547 to 873 of the family's 1533-position model. Lineage: Bacteria; Bacillati; Bacillota; Bacilli; Lactobacillales; Lactobacillaceae. The record is from Rfam by way of RNAcentral.